Molecule: long non-coding RNA, 543 nt
Organism: Homo sapiens (human)
Lineage: Eukaryota; Metazoa; Chordata; Mammalia; Primates; Hominidae
Exons: 3
Source: RefSeq, a predicted model, not a curated record
UUCCUUCUCUUAUGACUCAGGUUAUUGACAGCUGGGAAAAGGCACACACCUCUGACUGAUGGUGACCCAAAAAGAAAUCAUAGAGAAGCAAAUUUGGCUCCACUGGUUUGAUUUUUCCUUCCUUCCUCCUUACACAUCCAAGGAGGUUUUGCUCUGGAAAUCUCUUGCUAUGGAAUGCCUAACAAACCUGAACCAGGAAACCCUUUACCAACAGGAAGUGACCCAGUCUUUCUGCAUGGCAGGUGGCCACGCUGCCACCUGCUCCCUUCCUGUUAGUCAUGACUCCAAGGGUCUUGACAGAGGGUAGUGACAGGCAACUGGAGAUCUGGAAAGAAAAUCUCUCUUCAAAGCAGGUUUGCUGUGUUGCAAACGCCAGGGGACAUCAGUCACAGAGACCUGAAUGUACACAGCACCCCCUGGAGUUGGCAAUGCGGAGGCUCUGGCUGUUGAUCCCAAAGAAGAUUUAAAUUGCAGUCCAUUAUAUUUUUCUCUCAGACUUCUGUUUCUUUGAAUAUUCCAAAUAGAUUAAAAUAUAAUCUGGAA